Molecule: non-coding RNA, 95 nt
Organism: Mycena vulgaris
Lineage: Eukaryota; Fungi; Basidiomycota; Agaricomycetes; Agaricales; Mycenaceae
Source: the annotation of a GenBank genome assembly
GAUCUGGUGGUUUAGUGGUUACAUAUCCACUUUACCUGGCGGGAAAGAGAAGUUAAUUCUUGUGGGUGUCCCUUGUUCGAUUCAAGGUCAGGCCG